AGAGGCCUGUGUGACUCGGGAAGGCAGGCGCUUUUCCACAGGCUGGGUCACGCAGGGACCUGUAGGCUCUGGCCAGGAUUGGGGACUUUAUUCUGUAUAAGAAGAGAAGCCCCUGAAAGGCACUGAGCAGAAUUUUGAGUUAGAUCUCACACUGAUCACGGUGGCGAUGGAGCGCAGAGGAACCAGCAGGGAAGCUGAAGUUGCACCUGUCGAACUUGAGUUUGGGUUGGUAUGGAUUAGAGUGCUUGCCGUGAGGAUGAUGAGGCAUGGUCACAUUCUGGGUGUUUAGAAGGACGGAUUAAAAGGAACUGCUGGUGAGAAGGGCCCUGUGAGAGACACAGAGGGACAGUAGGAAGAAUGCAGGUGCCCCUCGUUGGCAUGAAUGACCAGGUUUGGGUUAAUCACGAGUCAAGUUCUGGACCUGUUAAAUUUGAAGUACCUCUUGGCCAUCCAAGUGGCAAUGUCAGGAAGGCAGCUGAAUUGGGAGGCUCCUCUGGGAAGCAGUCAAGCCUGGGAAUAAAAAUAUGGGAGUCUGUCAGUGUGUAGGUGAUAUUGGAAGUCAUGGGUGGAUGAGAUCCGUUUACCUGCACUAGGUACCCAGAAGGCAUUCCAGUGAUGGUGAUGAUCACCGGGUUCUGGUGAGUGUGGGUAUUACUGGAAGACAAUAAGCUGUAAUGAUCUCUGAUUCCGUAUAGCACACUCACUCAUUGUAUUCUGUCUGCUCUAAUUUUGAAUACGUUUUAAUGUCCAUCAAUUGCAGCAAAGGAAAGAAAAUACAUUAUCGGUUGAACGCUUUGGCUUUUCUCUGUCUAUGCCAACUCCAGUGCACACCAGAGGGACCCUAAUUCCACUGGGGGCCUGGAUGAGCUUGUCCCCUUGAACUGGCCCAGGCCAGAUAGCGGUGGGUCGUGGGGGACCAGUAAUCUCCGUCUACUCUUCAGGACUGCGGCACAAAGCAGGAUGGAUGAGAUAGGCCAACUCAUUACUUACAGGUGUUCUUUAAGGGAGUGCUUAGGAAGUUUUACUCAAUUUAACUUAAGACAUAAGUAAUGCCAUUCCCAAUUCAGGGCAAUGGCUUAGAACCUGGCUCAAUGUCCUUUUUACUAAGUAAUUAUCCAGAUUUCCUUACUAAAUGUUAUUUUAUGUAUUAUGUGUAAUGGCCUCUUUCUUUCAGCUAUGGUAGGAUGGUAAUAGCAGCUGAUAAUGGAUCACAGACUCAUCUUGAAGUUCUGCCUCUGGCACUUGUGGCCAGCGUGGAGGGAAGUGUCUGCCCAGGGAUCAGGCUGAUCCCCUGGCCCAACUCACUGGUCCUGGAUUGAUUUGCUUCUGAGGGGCCUAAGGGAUCACCGAUAACUUCUUAACCUUUAAAGCACUGCCUGUUUUUGAAGAUUCAGGGAAGCCUAAGGAGCUCAUCGGGUUAAAUGGCUCUUUUGCCUUGCUUCGGAGCCCCCGUUGGAGAGCUGGGACUGGUGGAAGUGUAAAGCCCCGGUGGGGAGGGACGGAGCAGCAUAGACAUUCAGAUUAUGACUGGUCAUCACAGGUGCCUGUUAAGAAUUCAGAACUGCUGCCAUUGAACGUCAAGGUGGCCCUUUUUUUUCCAGCAUCCUGGCCACUGGUGCUCAGGAAGCGUUCAUUGAAUGGGACUCUUGUGUAGGAAUUACAUUACUGGUGAUGUUUAUAUAGUGUACAUGUGGGACAGUAUGGACAUUGCUUCUUAAAGAUGACCUGGUUACUCCAACAGCCUUCCUGUAGCUACCGAGCACCUGCUGUUGGCCGGCUGUGCUCCCAUGGGGUGGUUAUCCAGUGCUCCAUGGGUGCUGGGCACAGAGAUCGAUACCAAAACAUGUGUUAUUCAUCUCCAACUGCCAUGAAAUUUUGUUUUCCAGCGCAUCAAGACUAACACCCAUAUCGAAAACGUGUGUGACUACCUCAGGGGAGGGGGUACAACAUGGGCCCAGGUAUUUAUCAACAUGGUGGCCUGAUUUCCUGCCCUCAGAUGGUCUCCGGUCCAGUUGGGGAGGCAGGGAACACUUGUGUGAAAUGUCGAAUAGUAGAGCAGGGCUCAACAUUAACUUGAAUGCAGAGGCGACCGAGCUUCUAGGUGUCAUGAGGACACGUGCACCUUUUGACUGCCCAUCAGAAUUACCUGGGAAGUUAUCAGAACCAAGGAUGCCUGUGCCUCAGCCCAGACCUACCAGGCACCUCUGAGUUUGAACAUGUCCCCAGUGAUUCUGAUGCACAAUGAGGCUUAAGAAGCCCCGCUGAGGUAGGACUUGGUGUAGAGACGGAGGUGGGAAUGACAAGCUGACCUGAGAAGGACAGUCACUAGCAGUGGCACAAGGUGAGGGCAGUGAGACUCAUUGAUGCAGUGACCACUGUUCCCUGGCCUCGAGGGGGAGUCUUGUUUGGAGAAACAAGAGAAAUUCAGGGAAAAGGGGGAAGCUUUCAGAAGACCUUCAAGUCCUGCAGAGGAGACUGAACUUUACCCUGAAAGUUACAGGGAAAUCCUGUGGUCACUGCCACCACUGAUGUGACCCAGUGUUCAGUAGUGAGUAUUGGAACUUCAUCCACGGCAUGAUAGGCAGAUUUUGAGCCAGUGAGCAAUAGGAAGAAAGUGGGGUUUUAUUUUUACUUUUUAUUUAUUUUACUUUAGAGA
Molecule: long non-coding RNA, 2656 nt
Organism: Mustela erminea (ermine)
Lineage: Eukaryota; Metazoa; Chordata; Mammalia; Carnivora; Mustelidae
Exons: 4
Source: RefSeq, a predicted model, not a curated record